UAGACUUCUCGGCCUUUUGGCUAAGAUCAAGUGUAGUAUCACUUAUUAGACAUAAACAUUUACUGGGAUUAAGUCUCUUGAAAUUGGAAAGACUACAAAUGAAAUGUAUUUUUUAAACGUGAGGGAACAUCUUUCUAGGAAUCUCAAGACUCUCCUGUAUGAAUCUGGGCAAUUUCUGUCACA
This is a non-coding RNA of Anolis sagrei ordinatus, 183 nucleotides long. Lineage: Eukaryota; Metazoa; Chordata; Lepidosauria; Squamata; Anolidae. The record is from RefSeq and is a predicted model, not a curated record.